CCCUGGUUAGUUCAUUUGGCAGAGCGCUCCACUGGAUAUGGAGAGGUCCCUGGUUCUAUACCAGGACUAGGUG
RNAcentral lists this transfer RNA (73 nucleotides) under Ixodes scapularis (black-legged tick). RNAcentral describes it as "tRNA-Ser". Lineage: Eukaryota; Metazoa; Arthropoda; Arachnida; Ixodida; Ixodidae. The record is from RNAcentral.